RNAcentral lists this ribosomal RNA (1218 nucleotides) under metagenome. RNAcentral describes it as "SSU rRNA". It matches the Rfam family "Eukaryotic small subunit ribosomal RNA", at positions 612 to 1784 of the family's 1831-position model. The record is from RNAcentral.
GCUGUGGUUAAAAAGCUCGUAGUCGGAUUUCAGUACUGUUUGCGAUGCCGCUUGACGAAAUGUCGAGCCGUCGCUGCAGCACUCACCUUCUGUGCAUUUCGUACCUGUGCAAUUAAGUUUGUGCAGCGAGCGGAUGUACACGUUCACUUUGAAGAAAUUCUAAAGCUCAAAUUAGCCGUUCGGCUGUUGAGUCAAGCAUGGGAUGAUGGAAGAAGACUUCGUCUUGCUUUCGUUGGUUUUGUCUAGAUGAGUAAUGAUUAAUAGGAGCGGUUGGGGAACUCUGUAUUGAGAGUGAAGCGGUGAAAUGCUGGGAUCCUUUCAAGACAAACUGAUGCGAAGGCUUUGUUCAAAGACGCCUCCAUUGAUCAAGAGCGAAAGCGCAAGUAGCGAAGAUGAUCAGAUACCGUCGUAGUUUGCGCCAUAAACGAUGCCGGCUAGGGAUUCGAAGAAGAUAAACGAAUGUCUCCUCGAGCACCUUAGAGAAAUUAAAGCUUUUGGGUUCCAGGGGGAGUAUAGUCGCAAGGCCGAAACUUAAAGGAAUUGACGGAAGGGCACCACCAGGGGUGGAGCUUGCGGCUUAAUUUGACCCAACACGGGGAAACUUAUCAGGGCAGGACAUAGUUAGGAAUAUCAGAUUGAGAGCUCUUAUAUGAUUCUUUGGGUGGUGGUGCAUGGCCGUUCUUAGUUGGUGGAGUGAUUUGUCUGGUUGAUUCCGUUAACGAGCGAGACCUUAACCCUUAAAUAGACACUCGAAUCAUCUACCUGGGUGAAGCUAGUGCGGCAGUUCGGCCUUAAUCGGCCUGCUCUUCGCUGGUGGAUCCCUUGAUGCUAUUCGUGGCUGCUCUUCUUAUGGGGUCUCCUGGCAUCCAGUCAGGGGAAGUUUGAGGCAAUAACAGGUCUGCAUGCCCUUAGAUGUUCUGGGCCGCACGCGUGCUACACUGACAGAUCCAACGAGUACUUCCUUGGUCGAGAGGCCUGGGUAAUCUUUUAAACGUCUGUCGUGCUGGGGAUCGGGCCUUGCAAUUAUUGCCCGUGAACGAGGAAUCCCUUGUAGAUGCAGUUCAUCAAGCUGCGUCGAAUACGUCCCUGCCCUUUGUACACACCGCCCGUCGCUCCUACUGAUGGACUCGCUGGCGAGGUCUCGGGAGCACAGUCUGUUCUUGCGGCAACGCUCCAGACAGUGUCAACUUGAUCGAGCCUACGUGUCUAAAAGAAGGA